Long non-coding RNA from Mus musculus (house mouse), 631 nucleotides. RefSeq annotates it as predicted gene, 36665. Lineage: Eukaryota; Metazoa; Chordata; Mammalia; Rodentia; Muridae. The record is from RefSeq and is a predicted model, not a curated record. The transcript has 3 exons.
GGGAUGGUGGAGGAGACAGAGGCGGGGAGGCUCCUGGGUGCUUAGGAGCCCUCACUGAGGAGUACCAAGGCCCUCUGCCUUGCCAUACCCCGCAGCUUCUAGAAGGCAUGUUCCUUCCCUCUCCCAGCAGAUCAUCUCUGGAGAGCCUGCUCAGACCUGCCCUCCCCACAAAGCACGGUCUCCCCAAGCUGCGGCUGAGACAUUCAGACUGCAGCCUCCUCCUCUGCCUGAUAUUCAUUUUGCUAUAAUGCAGUCACCAGUUCUGGGGACUUUGAUGAGAACUCCCUUUGACCUGUCCCACCAGUCAGUGAUCGGUCAACUACGAUUGGAACCCUCUAAGGAAGGCAAGCUUGCUAUCCUAACAACUGGCUACAUCCACAUUCAAACAGGUUUGAUUGAAAUCCUUACUUGAGAGGAAAUGAACUAAUUCUACCCCACGGGAACCUCCUGGCCUUUAGAACAUCUACGUGUUAGUAAAUCAGUGCUCAGUUUCCACAUCCUUUGCCCCAAUCACAGUGAGUAAAACAAAAUCAGAAAGAUGAUGAGAUAGUUUCAUCUUUUUUAUGGUCUUUCGUAUAACUCAAGCUCUCCUCAGACUCUCAAUGUUCCUAUCCUGGUCUUGCAGGUGUUG